Molecule: long non-coding RNA, 484 nt
Organism: Rhipicephalus sanguineus (brown dog tick)
Lineage: Eukaryota; Metazoa; Arthropoda; Arachnida; Ixodida; Ixodidae
Exons: 3
Source: RefSeq, a predicted model, not a curated record
UAGGGAAGCUUCGUUCCUCGUUUGUGCGGUGUGCAAAGAUUGCACGCAAUUCCCGCUGUUCUCGGAGUGCCGAUGAAGUACGAGUCGUUCAAGGAAUCAACGAAAUGUGCGGGCGCUCGAAUGACUCCAUGGCUGACACCCGCGGCCACCUGCUACACGCCAGUGCGAAAGAAACUAAAGGUUGAUCUUAAGCAGAAAACCAGAAGUGGCAGUGGUCUCCAGAAGAGACCAAGGACCCCAAGCUCUCUCUGACACAAGCAGGAAGGGCACUGUGGUGCAUUGAAAACUUGCUCCAGUAGUGCAUUGCCAGUGCACUAUGCUGCUGUUUCAUCAAGGAGAAAGGAGGUGACCAGCCCGAGAGGAACUUCAUGCUCUACAGUAUGCCUACGGAGAACACCUCAAGGCGCAUCCAAGCAACGUCCUGGAGGCACAGCGCCACCGGAAUCUCAAUCGCCAUUUGGGGGACCUGCUUAAAGCCCUUAAG